UACGUAGGGUGCAAGCGUUGUCCGGAAUUAUUGGGCGUAAAGAGCUCGUAGGCGGUCUGUUGCGUCGGCUGUGAAAACCCGGGGCUCAACUCCGGGCCUGCAGCCGAUACGGGCAGACUAGAGUUCGGCAGGGGAGACUGGAAUUCCUGGUGUAGCGGUGAAAUGCGCAGAUAUCAGGAGGAACACCGGUGGCGAAGGCGGGUCUCUGGGCCGAUACUGACGCUGAGGAGCGAAAGCGUGGGGAGCGAGCAGG
RNAcentral lists this ribosomal RNA (253 nucleotides) under uncultured bacterium. Its description in RNAcentral is "partial 16S ribosomal RNA". It matches the Rfam family "Bacterial small subunit ribosomal RNA", at positions 524 to 776 of the family's 1533-position model. The record is from RNAcentral.